Lucilia cuprina (Australian sheep blowfly) is the source of this 659-nucleotide long non-coding RNA. RefSeq lists it as uncharacterized. The record is from RefSeq and is a predicted model, not a curated record. The transcript is spliced from 2 exons. NCBI's taxonomy places the organism in Eukaryota, Metazoa, Arthropoda, Insecta, Diptera, Calliphoridae.
ACAAACAACAUUGUAACCAGCAUUUAACAUUUCCAAAACAGUGUGGGAACCAAUGUAACCAGCACCACCCGUUACUAAUACCGUUGGGGGAGCCAUCUCGUUUAAAAAAGUGUUCUAGAUAUAUUAUGAAUAACAAAAGAUAAUACACUUAUAUUAUUGCUCUCGUUUAGUUGGAAAAAGUAAAAGUUUCAUUUUAUAAGAAUUUUUAUUAUUGACGUCAGCAAUACAAUUAUUUAUUACACUUUAAAGAAUUAUGCGCAAAGAUGUUCGUUAGUAUUGCUAAUGUUCACAACUAAAUACUUGGUACAACACCAAUAUACAUAUUUAUGAACCUGUAUGUAUGUCCGUCGGUCAGUCAGUCAGGCUAUCUGGAAAACUGUUUUAAAUAAAAAUGAGCACUUUAUUGGUAUAAUAAUGAUGUUAUUGAAGAUGAUACUCAACAACAAUCACUAAACUGGCAGACACCACUGGUCAAACAACUAAAUAUUUAGAAGAGAGCAAAUUUAGAAGCAACAGCAGCUGGUUGUCAGUCAAAAACCUGAACGUACGGAAAUAAUCAUAAUUAUGAAUAAAAAAAAUAUAUACUAUAGUAUACUCGGUGCUAAAGAUGCUGACCUCUGUUAAUAUUUCUUGUAUUUAAAUUAAAUAUUUUUCAAAUA